AUUAUGGCUCAGGAUGAACGCUAGCGGCAGGCUUAACACAUGCAAGUCGAGGGGCAGCGCGAGUAGCAAUACUUGGCGGCGACCGGCGCAAGGGUGCGUAACGCGUGAGCAACAUGCCCGUAUCAGGGGGAUAAUCCAGGGAAACUUGGUCUAAUACCCCAUAGUAAUUUUGUAAGGCAUCUUAUAAGAUUUAAAGCUUUGGUGGAUACGGAUUGGCUCGCGUGACAUUAGCUGGAUGGUAAGGUAACGGCUUACCAUGGCUAUGAUGUCUAGGGGUUCUGAGAGGAAGGUCCCCCACACUGGAACUGAGACACGGUCCAGACUCCUACGGGAGGCAGCAGUGAGGAAUAUUGGACAAUGGAUGGAAAUCUGAUCCAGCCAUGCCGCGUGAAGGAAAGAAGGUCCUAUGGAUUGUAAACUUCUUUUGUAUGGGAGCAAUAAGGCCUACGAGUAGGUUGAUGAGAGUACCAUACGAAUAAGCACCGGCUAACUCCGUGCCAGCCGCUGC
This 508-nucleotide ribosomal RNA is filed under the name uncultured bacterium. RNAcentral describes it as "bacterial SSU rRNA". It matches the Rfam family "Bacterial small subunit ribosomal RNA", at positions 16 to 518 of the family's 1533-position model. The record is from RNAcentral.